This is a long non-coding RNA of Platichthys flesus (European flounder), 2584 nucleotides long. RefSeq lists it as uncharacterized. The transcript is spliced from 7 exons. NCBI's taxonomy places the organism in Eukaryota, Metazoa, Chordata, Actinopteri, Pleuronectiformes, Pleuronectidae. The record is from RefSeq and is a predicted model, not a curated record.
CUCAAGCCUGUUGUUCAUUGGUGAUAAUAAAAAUAAUAAUUAUAAGAAGAAGAAGAAGAAGAAGAAGUAGCAGAAAAUGAGGUGGCACACGUUUUUUUCCAAAAAUAAUUUCUAUCGCUGCACGCCACACACAAAGGCAGGAGACUGUCACACACACACAAACACAUGCUGGGUCAAUCAGACCCUGGUCCAACACAAGGGUUAAAGUUGCUUUGGAAGAAGUAGGGUAAUAUUCUGUAAUGAACCUUGACACAGGUUUCCACUCACAAAUAAACCCGAACAUACGAUAAUAUGAUUCUGUAUCCUGAUCACUAUUUGCAGCUGAGAAUUGUUAAUAACUGUUAAUUAGGUCAUAGGUGUUUUAUAGCAACCUAAAUUUAGUCUGUUUUCCCUCAGAUUGCUAUAUCUAUCUUUGCACAGCAAGAUGUUAUUCUGACAAUCUUGACAAACUGUUCACUCAUGACCAAUUGAUCACUAAUAGGACGACACUAUAGGUAUUGUAAUACAAAUUUAUUAUAGAUAAAAAGGCCACUGAUGGACGAACUCUAAUAUUUUUUUCUCUUUUGCUUUUCAGUCAAAAUGCCCGGGUCAACAAUGAAAACCUGCAUAUCUUGCAUGCACCAUAUACGUGUUGCAUGCAAGAUAUGCAAACUUUGUGGAGCCCAACAGCAAAUGAAAAAGGCUGUUGAAAAAGCUAAAGGUAAAGCCGACAGGGAAUGGGGAGCCAAGCUUAAAAAAGGUGGAAAAUUGAACAAAUUGAUGAAUGCUUCCCGGGUUCUGGUAAGCUCUUCACUACCUGUAGCCUGCCGACUCUUCACACUAGUUACAUAUCCCGGUCGAAUGGAUGUAUAAUAGUAAUAAUUAUCAUAAUUAUUAUAAUUAAUUUUAUUUGUAUAGAACAUUUGUAACAUUCAUGCUCAAAUCGGACAAUCGUAUAAUACAACAUAUAAAAUUGAUAGUCAUUGUUUUUCUCCCCCCCAAGGUCAUAGCCCCAUUUCUUACAAAAUUUACUGCCCAGAAAACUGUAAAAAAACUCUAUUAAAAUCUUUUUAAAGCUAUAAGGUGGACAGGUUAUAGGCCAUACUGUUUGACAAGAUCAGGGCCAUGGUCAAUUCGAACAACAAGGAUAUGGAGGCACUCACAAUAUAAUGUUUUUUGUUUUUAAUAGUUAAUCCAUUUUUAUUAUGUUCCCGAUUUGUUUUCAGGUUCACAAAUUGAAAAUGGCGGGGUUGCAUCCAAUGCUUCUCUUUGGGAGGGAGAAGAAGGGCUCUGUGUCCUGUGACUCAAUCAGUGGCCUGGAGCUAGUUUCAGACAGUCCUUGAAAAUCAUAGAAGGACUGUAUGGAAGCCUUGUGACAGUGAUUGUUAAAAGAGAGAGGGCCAACCCAUUAACUCCAGUGGACCCAGAGGGACCGAGGGAACUGGCUGAAUCCCCUCUUCAUCCAGAAGCAACGGAGGAGGAGGGAGAGGAAGGGGAGGAAGGGGAGGAGGAAGAGACAUUCGACCUCUUGUUGACACCUUGUGACCCUGCACCUACAGCUCCUGCCACAGCCCCAUCCACCUCGCAUUCACCUCCUGGACCAAGUUCCCCACCCUCAUCUCCCCCGCUCUCCAACUCAAAAGAGAGCUGUCCACCAAAACAUCCCGAGUCUUGUUGAAGUCGAUGUUUGAAGAGAGGAGACGCGGACCCAGUACUUACAAGUAUAAUGUUUAUUACACAAGAGUAUUACAGGUCAGGACGAGUUUCUAGAAAACUCGGAGAUAACACACAGGCCGAAUAGUGAAAAUCCGCCUUGACUCUGCAAGGUAAGGUGUUUUAUAGGGGAGUUGUUUACCACAAACCUAGAGAUUUAAUGACGUCACACAACCGGGCCUUCUGUCUAAAUUUGGGAAUGUGUCAUACCUUAAGAUAAGAUGGACCAAGAUCCCCAACCUCAUCUCCCCGCUCUCCAAAUGCAAAGAGAGCUGUCCAGCAAAACAUCCACGUAAGACCCUGCAAAUAAGUAUUGGGGGCCAGAAAAAAUUGCUACAUUUUCAGUUUUCAACAACAGAUCCCAUUGGUUUUGAUGAGAAGAAUUUGAACUUAAACUUAAAGGAGCAUAGACUUUGAAAGUAUGAUAUUUCACGUGCCAAAUGGAUACAGAAUCUACUUCCCUAUUUCUGUGCCUGGCAGAUAAAUUUAGGUAUUAAUAAGUUAAACCUUGAAAAGAUUUCCAGAAACAUUCUUUUAUGUGUUGGAUCUCAAACAUUUUCUUCCACUAACUCCCUAGGGACCCGCAAAGGUGGAAAAAAAGUCCACCCAAAAAACUGCAAUUACCACGACUCAAUGGGAAGUUACCCAUAUUCUAAAAUCUGCACGGAAAGAGUUCGAGAUGGGGUAAAGGAGGUGAAUGUGAGGUGGCUGCCAUGCCCCAUAUGCAAUUUGAGGUGGAAAGAUUCCUGGGUCCCUAAAACAGAGCUGGAAUAAUCCGGACAGAGGAGGAUGCAGCUUAUAUUUCUGCUUGUUUGACGUGUAAUUUGUUAUUUUAGAUGUUAUUGUAUAUUGUGUUAAUGUUACAUUUACUGUUUCUUGUUCUAUUUUACUG